RNAcentral lists this transfer RNA (75 nucleotides) under Candidatus Berkelbacteria bacterium CG08_land_8_20_14_0_20_39_8. RNAcentral describes it as "tRNA-Phe". It matches the Rfam family "tRNA". From Rfam's summary of the family: Transfer RNA (tRNA) molecules are approximately 80 nucleotides in length. Their secondary structure includes four short double-helical elements and three loops (D, anti-codon, and T loops). Further hydrogen bonds mediate the characteristic L-shaped molecular structure. tRNAs have two regions of fundamental functional importance: the anti-codon, which is responsible for specific mRNA codon recognition, and the 3' end, to which the tRNAs corresponding amino acid is attached (by aminoacyl-tRNA synthetases). tRNAs cope with the degeneracy of the genetic code in two manners: having more than one tRNA (with a specific anti-codon) for a particular amino acid; and 'wobble' base-pairing, i.e. permitting non-standard base-pairing at the 3rd anti-codon position. RNAcentral also lists the same sequence under 1 other name. Lineage: Bacteria; Candidatus Berkelbacteria. The record is from RNAcentral.
GCCGAUGUAGCUCAGUGGUAGAGCAGUGGACUGAAAAUCCUCGUGUCGCCAGUUCGAUUCUGGCCAUCGGCACCA